CAGCACAGGCAGUGACAAGCCAUUUGAUCCAGUGAUGCUGAGAGUCUUUGUGCAGAGGUCUGUAACGAAAUGGAAUGAUUUCCAGAGAUGUUGGUCGCAUUCUGAAUCCAAAACACAGCACUGUAACAGCUACUGGAAGAAAGGAACAGUAUGAUAGCUGAAAGGAGCAAGCCAUGACUCAAAAUCAUUUUGAUAGAUAGGCUUUACACUUGUGCUACUCAAGGAAGGACAGCAGAUUACAGAAAAUUUUAAUCACAGGGGGAGGCAAAAAACAUCAGCCCCCUUCCUAGUGCUGGCCAGGGUGGGCUUGCACUCCUGGGUUACACAGGGUGUUUGCACCACAACAUCCACGAGCAGUUUCCUCUCCCCACAGCUUGGAUCAGGACAGCAUUCCCACUGUGCCGGCAAUGCCUUUGGUAACUGGCAGCUUUGAGAGGCAGUAGAACUUGGACAGGGAACACCUGCAACUGUGCUGGGGAAAGGAAACACAACCUCUUCUGCACGCCCUGGGUUAUGGUUUCUUGGUUGUAGAUGGUGUUGUCAGAUUUUCCCACCAUACCCUAUCAACCUGUCUUGAUUCACCCAGGAUUUAAAAAGAUGACACUGUGACACAUCUGGAGGAAGAGCUAUAGGGACUAUAGGGAAGGAUCAGCUCUCUGCUCCCAGAACUGAAGCACUUCUUCCUGACACCAUUCCCAGAGUGUCCCUUAAGCCUUUCCUUUUCCAAGACAAUUUACACAAAGGACUGAGUGUCACUCACAGCUUCCCUCCUCCAUCUCCUGGACCACAACACACCUCAGAACCUGCAGGGCCUGCUGACAGUCCAGUUGACCUCCUGCUACAUAAUGAGGCAGAAAAUGCCCUGCAAUAUUGGAAGUGUGUAAGAAAUAGUUGGCUUCAUACCCAAACCAGAAAACUGGGGCUCAGUGUGUCUCUGCAGCUAAACAAAGAUCUGUCACUGGGAACUCAGCUAUUUCCUACUCAUCUGCUCACCAGCCCAGCAGAUCUGCUUGUUUCUCUGCAAGACUGCUUCCAGAAGAUGCACCAUGCCAAAUGUGGUGGUUGCUGUAGACAAGGACUAAUCAUAAAUGUAACUGAAAUUCAUUUUACUGUUUUGUUGUUUUGGUUUUUUUUAUGUUGCAAACAAUGGCAGAGGAUAAAGAGGAAAAUACUUAAUAUCCUCAGUAUUAUGGAGCAGUUUUGA
This 1204-nucleotide long non-coding RNA is filed under the name Cyanistes caeruleus (blue tit). RNAcentral describes it as "lncRNA (ENSCCEG00000008181.1)". Lineage: Eukaryota; Metazoa; Chordata; Aves; Passeriformes; Paridae. The record is from RNAcentral.